This 1102-nucleotide long non-coding RNA is filed under the name Elaeis guineensis (African oil palm). RNAcentral's name for it is "long non-coding RNA (EGUI_LNC014967)". Lineage: Eukaryota; Viridiplantae; Streptophyta; Magnoliopsida; Arecales; Arecaceae. The record is from RNAcentral.
CCUCUCUCUCUCUCUCUCUCUCAACUUCCAUACCACCUAGAUCAAACCCUUCUCGCAGAAGGGCAUCUCGGGAGGACCGCGCGGUCGGUGAUCCAGAGCUCCACUGCCUUCCUUUCUUGCUGGGGGAUAUGCAGCAAAAUCCCACCACGUGCUUUGCCGCAUGCUAGCCAUACCGAUCGUCGGAUUUCACAAUGUCAUAAACAUCGAUGCCAUACGCCACUUUUCCUAUUCCCCCAUCCCGGCUCCCGCGUCUCCAUAGGUAGAAGAGAAAGAGAAAGAAGGAUUUCACCAUCUUUCCGGGCCCUGAUGCGAGCGGUGAGGGCGACAAGGGCUUGCUUCACGGGCACCACCGCUGCCACCACUCCAUCCUCCUCCCCUCACUGGUUUCUCUCACCCUCCGCUAUCUGGGCAUGAUUCGGUACUCUAACUUUAAAAUAAAAAUGCUACUCUAUCGUUGUUGGGCAGCCACCACCUCCAGAUCUCAACACAUCGCCUCAUCUUCACUCUUCGAUUUUUUUUUUUCAUGGCAUGAUUCAGUCCCCUCUCUGUCCACCAGAUCCAGAUAAAUUGUUAUCUGCAGUGCGAUCGUGUAUGAAGUAGAUAAAAAAACCACUGGAUUCUAGGCUAUUGACCGGAUUGAACCCAUAUAGAAUCAAAUUUAAUGGGACAAUCCGGCUAUUAAUAAGAUUUUUUGGGCCACUGGUCAGGUUGAGAUUUGAGCCGGAUUCGAGUCAAGUUAAAGAUAAGCCCGAGCCUGAUUCAAAAGAUAAAUGGAUUGUAUAUUUAAGUUUAAAUCUGAUCUGAAGUAUUUCAAAUUGAGCUUGAAAUUUGAUUCAAAAUCGAUCCAACCCGGUGAAGCUUAAAUCAAUCCGAAUCCCGUUCCAGUCCUACACCUAACUCCCUCACCCUGAAAUAUAAAAGAUAUCUCUGUUCCUUUUAACCGCGAUAGCGUCACGGGAAAAAAAAUCCGGGUAAAAAGUAUUUUGUCCGCUUCCAUGGACUUCAGCAUCAAAGUGAGCACUCCUUUUUCGUCUUUAUACCGUGGCCGCCCGUGCUUUGGCGUCCGGAGGACAGAAAGGUUUUAAAAAAGAAAAAAAGGCCA